GCUGUGAGCACCAUGGCCUGGACUCCUCUGCUCCUCGCGCUCCUCUCUCACUGCACAGGGUCCCUCUCCCAGCCGGUGCUGACUCAGCUGCCCUCCCUCUCUGCAUCUCUGGGAGCCACAGCCAGACUCACCUGCACCCUGAGCAGUGGCUUCAGUGUUGGUGGUUACUGGAUAGCCUGGUACCAGCAUAAGCCAGGGAGCCGUCCCCGGUAUCUCCUGGAAUAUUAUUCAGACUCAAAUAAGAACCAGGGCUCCGGGGUCCCCAGCCGCUUCUCUGGAUCCAAAGACGCCUCGGCCAAUGCGGGGCUCCUGCUCAUCUCGGGGCUGCAGCCUGAGGACGAGGCUGACUAUUACUGUGCUACAUACCAUGGCAGUGGGAGUGGCCUUCAUUACUCACAGUGUCUCAGAUGA
This is a non-coding RNA of Myotis daubentonii (Daubenton's bat), 411 nucleotides long. The record is from the annotation of a RefSeq genome assembly. NCBI's taxonomy places the organism in Eukaryota, Metazoa, Chordata, Mammalia, Chiroptera, Vespertilionidae.